Molecule: long non-coding RNA, 314 nt
Filed under: Durio zibethinus
Lineage: Eukaryota; Viridiplantae; Streptophyta; Magnoliopsida; Malvales; Malvaceae
Description: long non-coding RNA (DZIB_LNC002075)
Source: RNAcentral
AUUACAGGGUUGUAUUUUGCCGCAGAGGCUCUCCUCAUCUGGAGAUGGUUGGAAGCAAGAGCCAAGAGUAAUGGUCUCUCCCCUCUCGGAGUUAAUUGCAGUGCCUCGGCGCUUGGAAAUAAAAAUAAAGUUUUUUGAUAAUGAAUAUGUUGUCGUGUUUGUAUUUCUUUUGUUUCCCGAUCGUGUUUUAUUUGAUGCGACGGUGAAAAGAAAUAAAGAUAUCCUUGUUUGAUUCACUCUAUUGAACUAAAAAUUUGGUUUUUCAGCCACACAAAACAAUUGGCAAUCAACCUCAAAGUUGAGUAGAGAUAAGG